GGGGGGGGGGGGGGGGGGGCGUGGCGGAGGGAAGUCGGACGGGGGGGCCCUGCGUUUGGGGGGGGGGCGAGUGGCGAACGGGUGAGGAACACGUUAGUAACCUGCGCUGGGCUUGGGGAGAACUGCAGGAAACUUGGGCUAAUACCGGAUAGGCGCGCCGGAUGCAUGGUGGGGGUUGGAAAGGUUGGGCGGUUGGGGAUGGACUCUCGUCGUCUCAACUUGUUGGUGGGGGAGUUGCUGACCAAGGCUUUGACGCGUAGCCGGCCUGAGAGGGUGACCGGACACAUUGGGACUGAGGUACGGCCUAGGCUCCUACGGGAGGCAGCAGUGGGGAAUAUUGCACAAUGGGCGGAAGCCUGAUGCAGCAACGCCGCGUGUGGGAUGAAGGCCUUCGGGUUGUAACCCGCGUUCGCCUGUGACGAAGCGUGAGUGACGUUAAUGGGUAAAGAAGCACCGGCUAACUACGUG
Molecule: ribosomal RNA, 468 nt
Filed under: uncultured bacterium
Lineage: Bacteria
Description: partial 16S ribosomal RNA
Rfam family: Bacterial small subunit ribosomal RNA
Source: RNAcentral